This 400-nucleotide ribosomal RNA is filed under the name uncultured bacterium. RNAcentral describes it as "bacterial SSU rRNA". It matches the Rfam family "Bacterial small subunit ribosomal RNA", at positions 29 to 420 of the family's 1533-position model. The record is from RNAcentral.
AACGAACGCUGGCGGCGCGCUUAACACAUGCAAGUCGAACGAGAAGGCGUAGCAAUACGCUUGUAAAGUGGCGAACGGGUGAGGAAUACAUGGGUAACCUACCCUCGAGUGGGGGAUAACCCGCCGAAAGGCGGGCUAAUACCGCGUACGUUUCCGAUCUCGCGGGAUCGGAAGGAAAGCUGUCCCAAGGGGAUGGCGCUCAAGGAUGGGCUCAUGUCCUAUCAGCUUGUUGGUAGGGUAACGGCCACCAAGGCAUCGACGGGUAGCUGGUCUGAGAGGACGAUCAGCCACACUGGCACUGCGACACGGGCCAGACUCCUACGGGAGGCAGCAGUGGGGAAUCUUGCGCAAUGGGCGAAAGCCUGACGCAGCGACGCCGCGUGAGGGAUGACGGCCUCGG